GGGGUUACGGUGGCGGUGUGUAGUGCACGUGGGCACGUGAUAACCGUAGGGGGGGGCUUAUAUAAAAAUUUACAUUUGAGUGAGCGGUGAAGUGGUGAGUAACACGUGGGAAACCUGCCCAGAAGCGGGGGAUAACACCUGGAAACAGAUGCUAAUACCGCAUAACAACUUGGACCGCAUGGUCCGAGUUUGAAAGAUGGCUUCGGCUAUCACUUUUGGAUGGUCCCGCGGCGUAUUAGCUAGAUGGUGGGGUAACGGCUCACCAUGGCAAUGAUACGUAGCCGACCUGAGAGGGUAAUCGGCCACAUUGGGACUGAGACACGGCCCAAACUCCUACGGGAGGCAGCAGUAGGGAAUCUUCCACAAUGGACGAAAGUCUGAUGGAGCAACGCCGCGUGAGUGAAGAAGGGUUUCGGCUCGUAAAACUCUGUUGUUAAAGAAGAACAUAUCUGAGAGUAACUGUUCAGGUAUUGACGGUAUUUAACCAGAAAGCCACGGCUAACUACGUGCCAGCAGCCGCGGUAAUACGUAGGUGGCAAGCGUUGUCCGGAUUUAUUGGGCGUAAAGCGAGCGCAGGCGGUUUUUUAAGUCUGAUGUGAAAGCCUUCGGCUCAACCGAAGAAGUGCAUCGGAAACUGGGAAACUUGAGUGCAGAAGAGGACAGUGGAACUCCAUGUGUAGCGGGUGAAAUGCGUAGAUAUAUGGAAGAACACCAGUGGCGAAGGCGGCUGUCUGGUCUGUAACUGACGCUGAGGCUCGAAAGUAUGGGUAGCGAACAGGAUUAGAUACCCUGGUAGUCCAUACCGUAAACGAUGAAUGCUAAGUGUUGGAGGGUUUCCGCCCUUCAGUGCUGCAGCUAACGCAUUAAGCAUUCCGCCUGGGGAGUACGGCCGCAAGGCUGAAACUCAAAGGAAUUGACGGGGGCCCGCACAAGCGGUGGAGCAUGUGGUUUAAUUCGAAGCUACGCGAAGAACCUUACCAGGUCUUGACAUACUAUGCAAAUCUAAGAGAUUAGACGUUCCCUUCGGGGACAUGGAUACAGGUGGUGCAUGGUUGUCGUCAGCUCGUGUCGUGAGAUGUUGGGUUAAGUCCCGCAACGAGCGCAACCCUUAUUAUCAGUUGCCAGCAUUAAGUUGGGCACUCUGGUGAGACUGCCGGUGACAAACCGGAGGAAGGUGGGGAUGACGUCAAAUCAUCAUGCCCCUUAUGACCUGGGCUACACACGUGCUACAAUGGAUGGUACAACGAGUUGCGAACUCGCGAGAGUAAGCUAAUCUCUUAAAGCCAUUCUCAGUUCGGAUUGUAGGCUGCAACUCGCCUACAUGAAGUCGGAAUCGCUAGUAAUCGCGGAUCAGCAUGCCGCGGUGAAUACGUUCCCGGGCCUUGUACACACCGCCCGUC
Molecule: ribosomal RNA, 1400 nt
Filed under: Lactiplantibacillus plantarum
Lineage: Bacteria; Bacillati; Bacillota; Bacilli; Lactobacillales; Lactobacillaceae
Description: bacterial SSU rRNA
Rfam family: Bacterial small subunit ribosomal RNA
Source: RNAcentral